Molecule: small nuclear RNA, 107 nt
Organism: Nannospalax galili (Upper Galilee mountains blind mole rat)
Lineage: Eukaryota; Metazoa; Chordata; Mammalia; Rodentia; Spalacidae
Source: Ensembl
GUUCUCCCUUCAGCAACACAUACACUAAAAUUGGACCAAUGCAGAGAAGACUAGCAUGGCCCUUGUGCAAGAAUGACAAGCAAAUUCAUGGAAGGAAGGAAGGAAGG